Molecule: long non-coding RNA, 662 nt
Filed under: Mytilus galloprovincialis (Mediterranean mussel)
Lineage: Eukaryota; Metazoa; Mollusca; Bivalvia; Mytilida; Mytilidae
Source: RNAcentral
AACUCUAUCGAAACUGCAAUCCUAUACUGAAGAGAUUUAAAGAUUUUUGCAUAGUGAAGUUUUAUUAUUAAGUUGCGGUAUUUGUAUUAAUAUUUACUCGGUUUGUAAAACGGCCAAGCUAUUUACUAUUUAUCCUCACACUGAAUGCGCAUGUCAAGCCUUUUAGUAAAACGCAAUCUACAACCAAUUGUGUAUUACCAGUUAGGUUUAAUUACUUUGUACCUAAAAGUAUUCAGCAUAUGCCAAAUAUUUUAGAUUGAGAUAAAUUUAAAAGACUAACGAGUCAACAUUGGUCUAGAUUGCAAAUGAUAGGACUAUUUUAUUUAUGCGGAUGAACUGAUUAUACCCAAGAUUAUUAAACUGACGUGACGGAUUAAUACGUCGAUACCAAAAGCAACAGACAAGGUUUUACACGGUUUAAACAACCUUCUUUGUUUAAAAGAGAUACAAGAUGACCUCAAAAGGUUACUGUUGAAAAUGAUGGAAAUCACGUUUAAAAAUCUUUUCAAAUAUGACUGGUAUGUUGAACAACAAGGGAGGUGCUUGUGAGAGAUAUUUUGUGAAAUACUGAAAUAAACAACAAAAAAUUAUUGUUGAUUGAUAAAAAACUAAAGGUAUUUAUUUUUUUACAAUUCUGAUAUAAGAUUCCACUAUAAUACCCA